UAGACGCAGGUCAUCAACCUACAUCGAUUACGUCCCUGCCCUUUGUACACACCGCCCGUCGCUUCUACCGAUUGGUCGUCCCGGUGAACAAUCGGGAGGCCGUGCUCAUGGUCAGCAAUGGCCGGAGCGCGGUUGAACUUUUGUAAAUUUGGACGACUAGAGGAAGAAGAAGUCGUAACAAGGUUUCCGUAGGUGAACCUGCGGAAGGAU
RNAcentral lists this ribosomal RNA (210 nucleotides) under Polymyxa graminis f. sp. temperata. RNAcentral's name for it is "partial 18S ribosomal RNA". It matches the Rfam family "Eukaryotic small subunit ribosomal RNA", at positions 1618 to 1826 of the family's 1831-position model. Lineage: Eukaryota; Endomyxa; Phytomyxea; Plasmodiophorida; Plasmodiophoridae. The record is from RNAcentral.